Molecule: ribosomal RNA, 425 nt
Filed under: uncultured bacterium
Lineage: Bacteria
Description: bacterial SSU rRNA
Rfam family: Bacterial small subunit ribosomal RNA
Source: RNAcentral
AGGGAAUCUUCCGCAAUGGGCGAAAGCCUGACGGAGCAACGCCGCGUGAGCGAAGAAGGUCUUCGGAUUGUAAAGCUCUGUCUUCUGAGACGAACCCGGUGGAGAGGAAAUGCUCCACAGUUGACGGUAUCAGAGGAGGAAGCCCCGGCUAACUACGUGCCAGCAGCCGCGGUAAUACGUAGGGGGCAAGCGUUGUCCGGAAUCACUGGGCGUAAAGCGCGCGCAGGCGGCUUUUUAAGUCAGGGGUGAAAGCCCAGGGCUCAACCUUGGAAGCGCCUUGGAAACGGAAAAGCUUGAGCGUCGGAGAGGCAAGGGGAAUUCCACGUGUAGCGGUGAAAUGCGUAGAGAUGUGGAGGAACACCAGUGGCGAAGGCGCCUUGCUGGCCGAUAGCUGACGCUGAGGCGCGAAAGCGUGGGGAGCAAAC